RNAcentral lists this ribosomal RNA (485 nucleotides) under uncultured bacterium. RNAcentral describes it as "partial 16S ribosomal RNA". It matches the Rfam family "Bacterial small subunit ribosomal RNA", at positions 30 to 507 of the family's 1533-position model. The record is from RNAcentral.
UUGAACGCUGGCGGCAUGCCUUACACCUGCAAGUCGAACGGCAGCACGGGUGCUUGCACCUGGUGGCGAGUGGCGAACGGGUGAGUAAUACAUCGGAACAUGUCCUGUAGUGGGGGAUAGCCCGGCGAAAGCCGGAUUAAUACCGCAUACGAUCUACGGAUGAAAGCGGGGGACCUUCGGGCCUCGCGCUAUAGGGUUGGCCGAUGGCUGAUUAGCUAGUUGGUGGGGUAAAGGCCUACCAAGGCGACGAUCAGUAGCUGGUCUGAGAGGACGACCAGCCACACUGGGACUGAGACACGGCCCAGACUCCUACGGGAGGCAGCAGUGGGGAAUUUUGGACAAUGGGCGAAAGCCUGAUCCAGCAAUGCCGCGUGUGUGAAGAAGGCCUUCGGGUUGUAAAGCACUUUUGUCCGGAAAGAAAUCCUUGGCCCUAAUACGGUCGGGGGAUGACGGUACCGGAAGAAUAAGCACCAGCUAACUACGUG